This is a long non-coding RNA of Hemicordylus capensis (graceful crag lizard), 1270 nucleotides long. RefSeq lists it as uncharacterized. The transcript has 3 exons. The record is from RefSeq and is a predicted model, not a curated record. Lineage: Eukaryota; Metazoa; Chordata; Lepidosauria; Squamata; Cordylidae.
UGAAUCUGCUGCUCUCUGAGAGGCCUCCAGGGAAGAACUGACUCCAUCCAGAACAGAAACUCUUCCAACUUCUUUAUAUAUAGGCUAUUGUCCAGUAAACCCUGCCCCUUCAAUUGGUCAUUUAAUUUUGAUUUUCCUGGCCUUUCUUCCUUAUUAGGAAAUGACCAACUUCCAAGCAGUUACUCUAAGUGAGGCCUAGCCCACCCCUAAAGCCUUAUUAUCACUACAUAUGGUCAUGAAGGACUCAUGGGUAAAAAUAAAUAAAUGGAAGCCACUAGCACCUGCUGGGAGGAGUACUAGGAAGAAACUCCUGCUAUCAGAGAGGAGGAGAUUGACUUGAACAGUACUGUACUGAAAAAUACCUGGGCUAUAGCAAAACAGAGGAGGCGAAGUGCAGGUGGUGAAGGAAUAAGCAGACUCAGACGUACACACAACCUGACAGACUGAACUAGUUUUUAAACCAGCAUGUUUUUCCCCCAAGAAGAAGCGAGGCAGCUUGCCCACGAAUGAAAACUGAAAAAUAGCAUGUAUCUUUCCCUUGUUACAUGUUCAGCUUGAUCAUACGUCUGUUUAAUUGGAAUUAAUUUCCAGUGUGUUCAAUGGGAGUUACCCUUGAAUGUACAUAGGAUUGCAGCCUUAGUGCAUUAAGAAUUGACCAAAAAGUGUGGCUGCAUUAUUAUCUCCAUUAUAUGCAGUCAUAUAUAUGAUAUUGAUCUUCCUACAGGUGGAUGUUAGCGAUCAUGGUUAAUUCUUCAAUGAAUCUGCUUUUUGGAAGGAAAAAAAUAACCAGGGUCUCACUGAACACUGAAUUACAGUGGAUAGCAGGCAAUUUGAGCUAUUCCAUAAGAUGGUUCUUAAAUAAAUAAUGGCCUUACUCGGUGGGGAAAACAAAUAAUGAAUUUUAAUGAUUAUUCCAAUAAAGCUGUGUACAGCAAAUUGACUUCAUCUGUCUGAAUUCCAAACCAAUUAUAAAGCUUUUGGGAACUGGUAUCCCUACAGAACAUGGCGAUGAGAGAAUGACAACAGUGAGGCAUCGUCUAUUUUAGAACAAUCUAACUUCCAAAAUACUCUGAGUUCUCAUAUUAUGUAAUUCCAGUUGUUAAGCACUGCCUUGUUGGCAUUCUGACAUUAGAGUUCUGUUAACAAGUACCCUGGGAAUAGGAUAAUAUACUUUGACACUUACAUAUUGUUGCAUGGUUAGGAUUUUUUUUUUAAGUCUUUGAACACUUUCCAAGUUGAUCUAAUGUUAAAUAAAUUGGAUGUCAGCCGA